UACGGAGGGUGCGAGCGUUGUCCGGAAUCACUGGGCGUAAAGGGCGCGUAGGUGGCCUGUGGAAGUCUGCGGUGAAAGCCCGGCGCUCAACGCCGGGUCGGCCGUGGAUACUCUCGGGCUUGAGCUUACUAGAGGCAGAUGGAAUUCCGGGUGUAGCGGUGGAAUGCGUAGAGAUCCGGAAGAACACCGGUGGCGAAGGCGGUCUGCUGGGGUAAUGCUGACACUGAUGCGCGAC
RNAcentral lists this ribosomal RNA (235 nucleotides) under uncultured bacterium. Its description in RNAcentral is "partial 16S ribosomal RNA". It matches the Rfam family "Bacterial small subunit ribosomal RNA", at positions 524 to 757 of the family's 1533-position model. The record is from RNAcentral.